GGGGCUGUAGCUCAGUGGUAGAGCGCCCACCUCAUACAUGUGAGGCACUGGGUUCAAUCCUCAGCACCACA
Molecule: transfer RNA, 71 nt
Filed under: Marmota monax (woodchuck)
Lineage: Eukaryota; Metazoa; Chordata; Mammalia; Rodentia; Sciuridae
Description: tRNA.Met
Rfam family: tRNA
About the family: Transfer RNA (tRNA) molecules are approximately 80 nucleotides in length.
Source: RNAcentral